GGGCAAAAAGUCACUUAACCGUCUUCAGAGGAGCUGCCCUUGCGCAAUAGGCUUUCUAUUUAUCCGUUAGUACCAGUGCCUCUUAUACUUUGGGAAAUCCAUGCAGCAGUUUCAGGGAUUUCAGACUUACAGAAAGUAUGUCUGUCUAGUGAGCUCUGCAGGCUAUACAACAACAGGUUUGUCCAGAUCUUUGAUCUACAACAGCACAGGAUGCAAGGACUUUAUGGCGUUUUACUCGUUUUCAUCUUUGUCUGCUGCAUCAGGGCUAAGAAGACACGCUGGUGCACAGUGUCAGAUCCUGAACAGAGGAAGUGUGCAGAACUAGCUAAAGCUCUGGUGGCAGUGCUGCCGCCAGCUGAUGUGGCUGCUUUUGCCAGACUCUCGUGCAUACGAGCGUCCAGUACGACUGACUGCAUCGAUAGAAUUAGGGCAAAUCGUGCUGAUAUAGUAACGUUAGAUGCAGGAGAAGUUUAUUCGGCUGUGAAGCAGUUUGGCCUCGUUGCCAUCGCUAAGGAGAUAUACAUUGACGGAGGCUGUAUUCUUUCUGUGGCUGUGGUGAGAAACCUCAGUUUGGACAUACGAUCCCUGCGGGGCCAAAGAAGCUGUCACAGUGGGGUCCGAUGGACGGCUGGAUGGAGUCUUCCACUCGGCUUCUUAUUGUCCCGCAACUACCUGAGCUGGUCAAAAGAACAGCCACUCAGUCAGGAAGUCAGUACCUUUUUCAGUGCCAGCUGUGUUCCCGGGGCUGUUGCCAUGGCAUCACCUCUGUGUGCUUUGUGCCAAGGCCAGAAGUCCUAUAUUCGCCAGAAGAAUUACCACUGCGAAACGUCCCACAGUGAACCCUUCUACAACAGCCAAGGGGCCCUCCGAUGUCUCAGGAGUGGGACAGGAGAUGUUGCAUUUGUGGACCAUUUAGCUCUUGAAAGUAUUGAAGAUAGUGAUAGAGAUGAGUUCAGGUUACUGUGCACAGACGGCACACAAGCUCCUCUCAGCCACUACAGAAACUGUAAUCUGGGACGGGGUCCAGGAGGCAGCGUGGUCACCAGAUUUAACUUUCGCAAGAUUGCUCACAAAUUUCUCAUGAUGGUGCAGAUGCUGUUUGGCAAACAAGGAAGAAAGAGGCAGCGCUUCCAUCUCUUCAACUCAUCUUCUUUUGGAGAAAACGACCUUCUCUUCAAAGAUGUGACAGAUAAACUAGCUUUUCUGCCAGAUAAUAUGGAUGUCAGUCAGGUGCUGGGGCUCGAUUAUGUGGCACUCCUCAAAGGUCUCGGACAUGAAGGAAGUUCACUGGAGGACAGUGUUGUGCGUUGGUGCUGUAUUAGCCAGGCGGAGCAGAAGAAAUGUGAGCAGUGGGCUCUAAGUAUAAAGUCAGACCCGCUGGUAUGUGUCAGAGCCGUCUCAUUGCGCGACUGUAUCGAGAAAAUUAAGAGGGACGAGGUGGAUGCCGUCUCGCUGGAUGCAACUCACUCUUUCAUCGCAGGAAAAUGUGGCCUUGUCCCCGUGGUUACAGAAUAUUAUGGAGAAAAAUGUGUUCCUGCUGAGGGAUCAACCCACUUAGAGACCGACGUGUUGCCCUCAGUGGUGGGUGUGGCCGUGGCAAAGCGCUCCAACAAAAACAUAUUCAUUGGGAACCUCGGAGGCCGGCGCUCCUGUCACGGCCACAUGUACAGUCCGGCAGGCUGGCUGCUGCCAUACAGACACACGUUAAGCCUGGAGCAUAACAGCAGCUCCCCCUGUGAUCCAAACCAAGUGUACAACGACGUGUUUUGGAAAGGUUGCCUACCUGGCUCUCAGGGGAAUCUGUGUAAAGUGUGUCUGGGGGGCACAGGGGAGGCUGCCACCAAACGCUGCGCUGACAACCACAAUGAACGUUACUAUGGCAACAUGGGCGCUUUAAGGUGUCUGGUCGGAGAUCCCAGUGGUAAAAGCUACGGUGACGUGGCCUUCCUCGAGCAACACAACCUUUUUGCCAACAUCCUCAGUUUGAGUUCCACCGGUUGGGCACAGGGGUGGACGUCAUCAGACUAUGAGCUGCUGUGCAGUGAUGGUCGUCGGGCCCCGUUGUCCGAGUGGGAGAGCUGUAACCUUGGAGAAAUCCCACCGAACAUCAUCAUGACACGGCCGGUGCUCACUGCACGAGUGUAUGACUUCCUCAUGAAGUCACAGGAAACUUUGACAGCCAACCCAAACGCAGAGUUCAAGCUCUUUGAGUCUCAGCAAUAUGGAGAAAGUGACCUGCUGUUCAAAGACGCAACUCAGUGUUUUGUGCACACAAGCCACAUGGACUACCGCUCCAUCCUUGGAGAGGAAUUUUACAGUCACACAGAAACUGCCUUCAACUGCACACGCUCUGAUAUCUUGGAGUUUUGUAAUCAGGACGUGUGCAGCAUAUUCUAAUGGACACACAGAAGGAAACAUUACCUUUCUCUUUGCUACUCUGUGCAGUGGUUCAACACUUCAUCCACUAACUUGUUUCAGCCAUAUCUGAUGACUGAAUUCCCUUUGUAUUUUUAGACCUUAAAAAUAAUUAUGUCAUUGGCACAGCAAAGUGCAAACACAAAGCCUCUCACAAAGAAGUUGAGAUGAUAGUCAGCAUUGAUACAAACAACAUGAAUACGUUUGUAAAUAUAUGGAUCUAAUAUCUAUUUGUAGGAUACAAAAAUGUAACCAUGUGUUACAUUUUUACAUGCACCAAAAAUAUACUUGUAUUUGUUAUUACAUAUCAAAGUGAGUGUAAGACUAGGGACCAUUAGAUAUGUGGGGAUGCCAUUUUUAAGCAAUGCUUAUUAUUAUUGUUUGUCAGUCUCACAGCAGCUCUGAAAUUAAUGGCCUCAGCCCUGGAGGAUAUACAUGUUUACACAUAUUUUAUUAAGGACUUUGAGAUUGAAGCUCACAGGAAGUGAUGCAGCUGAAUACAGCUAGGACUAUACAUUAUACUUCGUUUGUUUUUGUAACACAAUGUAUGUUUUGCACCAAUAUGUAAUGCAAGGUGUGUCAUGGAGAUUAGUUGGUGCAAAGUUUUUCAGUCAUCUUUUUUCUAUACCUGUGUCUCUGUAAAGUAAUAACUUUUAGAAAUAAUUUAAAGAUA
RNA transcript from Etheostoma cragini (Arkansas darter), 3088 nucleotides. RefSeq lists it as uncharacterized. The record is from RefSeq and is a predicted model, not a curated record. NCBI's taxonomy places the organism in Eukaryota, Metazoa, Chordata, Actinopteri, Perciformes, Percidae. The transcript is spliced from 18 exons.